This is a long non-coding RNA of Silurus meridionalis, 4653 nucleotides long. RefSeq lists it as uncharacterized. The transcript is spliced from 4 exons. NCBI's taxonomy places the organism in Eukaryota, Metazoa, Chordata, Actinopteri, Siluriformes, Siluridae. The record is from RefSeq and is a predicted model, not a curated record.
GAGUAUUUAAUGAUUAAGUGCAGACCCUUUUAUUAACAGAGAAAAUUCUCAGCCAUUGUUGUGACUGCGGUGUCCUUUUUUUGUUACUUCCGGUUUGGGUACGUCGUAUACAGGCCGUGCGAGCUAGUGGCUCUAAACGGGCACUGGCGCCUUGACCCCGUGACGUAUGACCAUUGCCGCUCAUCUGGUAUCCUUCGUAGCCCAAGAUAUAUACAUCGCUCUUCCAGAAGGAGAUACGUCCUUCAUCAGUCAUCAUCAUCUGCGAUCCCCUCUAUCUGGUCCAGUAGCAGGGCUUUGAAACAGUCGGCGCAUUCUCAUAAUCGGCAUCGCUCCCUUGUCAACAUUAAUAUAACUAACUCUGAGAUUGAGCAUACCCCUACUGUCAAUGGAACAAAUAAACACUGUGCCCUCCUAAAUUGUCGAUCUAUCUCAGGCAAAGGCACCUACAUAAAUGAGCUAAUAGUUGACAAUAAAUUUGAUAUGUUAUUUCUCACAGAGACUUGGCAGGUACCAGAUGAUUUUAUCCAGCUGAAUCUGCUUACCCCUACUGGAUAUCGACAUAUGUCAGAACCACGUACAACUGGUAAAGGGGGUGGUCUUGCUGUCAUUUUUCGUGCGUCAUUAACUGUCUCUGAACUGGUUUUCCUCCAAUAAAAAAUCUGCCCACAUUACCCCCCAGAUAGCAAACAUUCUGGCACAAUUUUGGCUUACACUGGGCAUUUAUGGCUUAAUUCGGGCUCUCUUUUGUUCACACCCUUGUGUGAAACAGCUUUCGGGGGAGUUGUGGCAUGAGUCUAGCCAGCCAAAAGCAAAAGGUACCUUUUUUGGUUGAGCCCUGGCUUGAGUUUGGUCUGCCAUAAAAGAGUAAAUAGUCGGCUGAGAUAUGGGUAGGUUCUGGUUAGCCAAAAAGCAAAAAGAUUCAUGCUAUUUUCUUUUAUAGGUAUAUACCAUUAUAAGGUUAAUUUUAUCCAAACAGUUUUAAUAACAUAAAAUGUUUUCUUGCAGUUUUUAAUUCCUUUAAAAUAUUUAUUCCUGUCGCAGAAACGCAUCAAAGGCUAUUUAAAAUGAGGACUACAAAGUAAUUAACCCUGUAAAGCCUACUUUUGUAAUAUUAUAACAUUAGUUUUGGCUGUAAUAAAAUAUACCUGUACUUUUUUUUUUCUUUAAAACCAUAUUGUUUAACCUUGCAAUGCAUUUGAAGGGUAGACUUUGAAAAUAGGUUGGUUUUCCUGGCUGUGAACUUACAAAACCUGCAAACCUGCCUUGAGGAACAUGAUCUUUUUUACUGAAAUAAAUAAAUAAAUCAACAAUCACCACAGGCGGAUGACGUCACAUUAUCGCGAGAUGUUAGACUUCUACGUGUGAUUUCUCGCUCUCGCGGUACCUAAUCCGAAAGUACGUAGCGACCAGCCACGCGUUACGGAGGGAAUAUUCAAACUGCUGUUCAGAGUUUGAUCAUCACGCGACGCGAAUUGUUUGUUUUUUGGAGUUCUUUUGGAGUUCUUGGAGUGAGUCUAUCGACUUUUGGAUUAACGUUACAUUGAGGUAAGUUGAUGCUUUUAAUACUGCAGACAAAUAAAUGUACAACAUUAUUUACUCAUCAAGCAUCAAGCAAUCCGAGAUACAUGUCCAUGGUCAUCUUUCAAACAAAGACAUUUGGAGUUAUCUUGGUAAAUGUCCUCACUCUUCCAAGCUUUAUAACAAUAGGAAACUGGAACCAGGGAACACAUUCCAGAUUUAAACACCCAAAAAGUCAAUUUAUCUUUCACAUGUAAUCCACACUGCUCAAUGGGUUAUUUGGGGUAUUUUGUGGGUAAUCGAUGCGAUUUUGUAAGAAAAGUAUCUAUAUUUCAAACUUUAUACACAGAAUACAUUUAUAUACAAUAUAAAGUUAGAAUUCUAUAUACUGCAAGUAUGUAUAAAUCCUUUUUGUAUACAAUACAUUUAAUUUUAAAGGUUUACCGGCAAACAACAUACUGAUUUUUAUUUCUUAUCACUAUCAUAGAUAAUUACAGUGAAGCACGUCGGAAGCUGCCUCUUGUAGAGCAACAAACGGAUCUGCAGUCAGAGGCAGAGACUGACCCCCUGAGAGCACCAAAACGGAAAAUGAAGUAAGCUUGUGUAAUUAUUGUAAUUCUUUAAAACAGACGAGUUACAUGUCUUGUGUCACUGCAGUUGUAGAAAGGACCAUGUUUGUUUAGAUGUAUUACUCAUUUUCUUUUCUUCUCUGUAGAUGAAACCGGCGUCUAUUGGUCGACUACGAUACAGAUGAGGAGGCCAUUGCACCGAAAAAGAAUUUGCCGCAAGCCCCAUACAUACAACCACUAUCAAAAAGAGCUUUCUCUGCUUUAGAUGAGGUUCAACCAAGUCCUCUACAACACAGACCCCAAAGGUCCCCAUCUGUGACACAGGUUCCAGGGACCUCAAAACAGGCUUUGAUGGAAAGAAGCCCUACCUCUCAAUGGCAGAACUUUGAAAGUGCUCUAGGAAAGUCGUUACGGCAAGCAAUAGACCUACCUGCACAGUCACCAGUUCAGACUCUUUUCCAGACUGCCCAUCAGAUGGGUCCAGAAGCAGAAAAUUAUAGUCAAUUGUCGUGGCAAAGAGGAUCAACGCUACAAUCUCCCGAGGAGCCAACACAACCUCUGUGGCAUCGUGAAACACCCAGAAGAAGCUAUUCAAUGGAUGAUCCAUUCAAAAAAUUAUUCUUUUGCAAAGAAACAUUGUACGGAUGAUUCAAGACCUGAAAUCCAACAAUGUAAGGGAGAUCACAGAGGAAAACGAACUAAGUCCCACUCUUUUUCCAGUGAAAGAUUUAAGGUCCCUAACUUCUCUUGAAAAUAAUCUUCGAUCCAGUCCUGAAACAAGACGGAAAGUGGUAAUUGAACUUGGAUUGCUUGGUGGGGUGGAUGCUAAGGACACAAUUUGGCGUAUAAUGAAACAGACAAUAAAAAACGACUUUGCAAAAAACGAUGAACUGGAAAGGCGCAAAUGGAAAAAACCCCAUUCCAAGGUCUUGAACUGAAAAACGUUGUGAUUGAGGCUGUGAGACGAAACCCACCAUUUAUGCACAAGUUCAUUUUGUUUAAAAUUUGCACUAUUGUUUUCUUUAGUUUUAAUUUUGUUUUCACACUUCUUUUGUCAUUUUUCAUAUUUGCCUUUCACGGUAUUAAAAUGUUUUUGAUCUUUCAUAACUAGCUUUUGUUUGGUUUCUUUUAAUUUAUGCACAACACUUACAUUUGUUUUUAAUUGUACUAUUGGUUUAAUUUUGUUUAUAAUGUAGUUUUUCUUUGCUGUGUGUUAUUCUUGUAUUUUGAUUUGAUUGCUUUGGUAUAAUUUUUUAUUACCAUGUUUUUUUUUAAAACAACAAUUACAAUAAACACGUUAAUUUGCAUUUGUGUGGUUGUGCUUUUUGAAUAUACACAUUUUACCUAGUUAAAUCAUUUUGGUACAGUUAUGGCUUUUUUUUGGUGGGCUUCUGGAUAAGUUGUGGGUGGGUUCUGGGGUAAAUAUGGUAAAUUUGGGCCUUUUAUGGUAGACAUCUGGGGCUUCUGGAUAAAUUGUGGGUGGGUUCUGGGGUAAAUCUGGUCAAUUUGGAAAUUCUGGCUUUGUAGCGGGACAGCUGUGGCUGAUUUCUGGAGGUGUGAAUGGGUUGUGGUUGAGUUAUGGUCUGCUUUUGGCUAAAGUCUGGAUUACUUCAGGCAUGCAGCUUUAGAGCCAAUUAAGGACCGUAAGCCGUGGUGGUAUGUGAGCCAAAAGAACAGCCUGAACUCAGCCCUUUCUGGCCCAGAAAAAAUUUGCUAUCUGGGCCCUGUAUUAUUUGAUCUUCACUGGCUUCCAGUCUCAUCUCGCAUAAAAUAUAAAAUCAUACUGCUCACUUAUAAGGCACUAAAUGCUCUUUCUCCCCCCUAUCUUUCUGAUCUUCUCUCAUCCUAUGUUCCUUCACGAUCACUCCGGUCUUCAAAUUCUGAACUUCUAUGGGUUCCUAGAUACCGUCUAUCCUCUGCGGGUGGCAGAUCCUUUUCUGUCAAUGCUCCAAUACUUUGGAACUCCCUACCAAUUGCACUCAGAACCAUCACCACUUUGACUGAAUUUAAAUCAAGGCUUAAGACCCACCUUUUCAACCUCCACUAUCAGUCAAUGCAUAUGUGUUAGGAGUCCUUAAUUUUUCUGAAAUGUGGUGAAUGUUUCAUGUACUAUUUAGUGUUCUUUCUCUUGUCCUGUAUGUUUUUGUGUCUGUGUUGUCUCUGUUAUUAACUCAUGCAGCUGCAUGUGAUCCUUCGUCCUGGGCAAAUGUCCGACGAAUAUGUUUAUGUUUAUGUAUGUCCAUUAUAUUUCAUCUGUCUUGAAAUAUUGUACCCUGUAAAGCGUCCUUGAGCUUGGGAAAGGCGCUAUAUAAAUUAAACUUAUUAUUAUUAUACAUUCCGCCGGAUGCUAAUGCUAAGCUAGCUAUGGAGGAACUUCACGCAGCUAUCAGCAAACAGCAGUCUGCCCAUCCUGAAGGAGCUAUUGUUGUUGCUGGAGAUUUCAACCACUCCAACCAAUUUCUCCUGCUCUACCAGAGGGGUCAAAACACUGUACCAGGUAUACACAAACAUAAAUGGGGCAUACAUGGCCAUUCCCCUCCCCCACUUGGGUCAGUCUGAUCACCUC